UUGUGCUUGGCUUACGGUUGUUUGCUUGGCUAUUUAGCCUUGCAGGUGGCUAUUUGCCAGGGCGGCUUCGGGGAUGUAUACCGUAAAGGUGCAUGAGUGGUGUUUGGUUUGCUACGGGUGGUUGGCUCCCUGCUUGAGCAGGCACGGCCAUGCGUACAUUCCUUUUCAGUUGUGCGGCAAGGCUUGUAUUGUCUUGAUCGUACGUGUGGGUUUCUGUGUUGCAUACCUGAUCAACGGCAUCGUUUUGAUCAAAAAAGUACCUUUUUCGUCGGGCAUUGCACCUGCAAUGUUUGAUGAACCACAUGGCAUCCUCUUUGAUCCAUAUAGUCGAUGAGCAUUUGUUGAUUGUAUGGCCCAUUGAUGGUGUCUGGUCUCUAGGAUAUGGAAGCCAAAGUGGGCAUGGGUUCGUAUGAUCCUUUUAUUGCCCUCGUUGAGCGUUCUCGCUUCUCUUACACGACUGCCUUUCACGUAUGGCACGUCC
This 481-nucleotide unclassified non-coding RNA is filed under the name Baccharis salicifolia. RNAcentral describes it as "partial external transcribed spacer". The record is from RNAcentral. Lineage: Eukaryota; Viridiplantae; Streptophyta; Magnoliopsida; Asterales; Asteraceae.